CUAUGUAUGACCCAUAAGAUCAUCUUUAUCGGUAAUUCUUAGCAAUAUUUCUUAGGUUUAAUAUGGUUAAAAAUAAAUCAGAAAUGCCAAUAUUACUAAGAAUAAACUCUUAACUAAGGGGUUUAAGAAAUCCUAAGAAGCCUCGACGUACUCAAAAAUGGUUGGGUGUAACUUUUAAUAUAAAAGGGAAAAAAUUGCAUUCACUUUCCUUCACCAAUUCUGAGAUGUUCAAUCACCAAUCUCUUUCCCAUGGUAUGUUUGUCUUUAUUUUUCUAUCAAUUUGUCUUUAGUAAUCUGCUGGUCCGAGUAACCGUCGUCUCCGUCACGGCCAUGGGAAGGCGGCGAUUGUAUACAAUAAUGGCCUUGAGCUCACUGAUCACCAGCCAUUUGGACAGACGACUGAACGUUCCUGUAAGCUGGCUGAGGUUGACGAAGCUUGUGAAUUGGUUCUACUCUAAUGAGUUUCCAAACCUUCCAUCAGAUGAACACUGAGGCAAUACUGGAUGAGUUUCAAGCUUUAUGAAUGGUGGUUUGAUUGCGCUCAUGUGUUCUCUGACAACAACAGGGUGGUUAAAUCACCAGAAGCAAAAGCUAAAGAGGGCUUUGACGGUUUUUAAGAUAGUCUGUGAGGAUUUUUUGGUUUUGUAUGAUGUCCUUGCGUUAUCGAUCAAGUAUCUGGGAUGCUAUAGUUCAAUUAAUUCUGGAGUGUUAGGGUGAGAUUUGUUUAUCCACUUUUAUAAAUUUCUUUAAAUUUCUAUAAUAUUUUUCAAAAAUAAGAACUUCAUCAAGAGAUUUACCA
This is a long non-coding RNA of Camelina sativa (false flax), 799 nucleotides long. RefSeq lists it as uncharacterized. Lineage: Eukaryota; Viridiplantae; Streptophyta; Magnoliopsida; Brassicales; Brassicaceae. The record is from RefSeq and is a predicted model, not a curated record.